AGAACUAGAUCUGAACCUGUGAAGACGAGC
This 30-nucleotide non-coding RNA is filed under the name Homo sapiens (human). Lineage: Eukaryota; Metazoa; Chordata; Mammalia; Primates; Hominidae. The record is from RNAcentral.